RNAcentral lists this ribosomal RNA (301 nucleotides) under uncultured bacterium. Its description in RNAcentral is "bacterial SSU rRNA". It matches the Rfam family "Bacterial small subunit ribosomal RNA", at positions 9 to 291 of the family's 1533-position model. The record is from RNAcentral.
GAGUUUGAUCAUGGCUCAGGACGAACGCUGGCGGCGUGCCUAACACAUGCAAGUCGAACGAGAAUCUUUUGGUUGAUUUCUUCGGAAUGAAAUCAAGAGAGGACAGUGGCGGACGGGCGAGUAACGCGUGAGUAACCUGCCCAUAAGAGAGGGAUAGCACUUGGAAACGGGUAGUAAUAUCUCAUAUUGAUAUUGGACCGCAUGGUCUGAUAUUGAAAGAUUUAUCGCUUAUGGAUGGACUCGCGUCUGAUUAGCUAGUUGGGGAGGUAACGGCUCACCAAGGCGACGAUCAGUAGCCGAA